UCACACCUUUGACAGACUCACAUCUUUGCAUAUUGUCUUCAACAGGUGUCUUCAACAGGCUCGCACUUUGCUAAGCUUGCAGCUUUGACAUCUUGCUAAGCUUGCACAUUUGGAAAGCUCACACCUUUCCUUGAAACUGCUCCUUCAGCUUAUUCAAGCUUGUUUGGAGGUCUCAUAAGUUUGAGCCGAUGUUGAGCAGGGGAAGCAAAAUCAAUGGUCCCUUAAGACUUAGGCUCAUGAUACCAUUUGUUUGAACAAUGGCAGCAGCAAAAAGAAAAAGAACAAGACAGAGAACAAAGGAGGAAGAAACAAAAACAAUUUACUUGCUCACAAACGUGCAGCAAGGGA
RNAcentral lists this long non-coding RNA (348 nucleotides) under Gossypium barbadense (sea-island cotton). RNAcentral describes it as "long non-coding RNA (GBAR_LNC013157)". Lineage: Eukaryota; Viridiplantae; Streptophyta; Magnoliopsida; Malvales; Malvaceae. The record is from RNAcentral.